This 429-nucleotide ribosomal RNA is filed under the name Chloroflexota bacterium. Its description in RNAcentral is "Chloroflexi bacterium partial 16S ribosomal RNA". It matches the Rfam family "Bacterial small subunit ribosomal RNA", at positions 355 to 776 of the family's 1533-position model. The record is from RNAcentral. Lineage: Bacteria; Bacillati; Chloroflexota.
UGGGGAAUAUUGCACAAUGGGCGCAAGCCUGAUGCAGCCAUGCCGCGUGUGUGAAGAAGGCCUUCGGGUUGUAAAGCACUUUCAGUGGGGAGGAAGGCGGUGAGGUUAAUAACCUCAUCGAUUGACGUUACCCGCAGAAGAAGCACCGGCUAACUCCGUGCCAGCAGCCGCGGUAAUACGGAGGGUGCAAGCGUUAAUCGGAAUUACUGGGCGUAAAGCGCACGCAGGCGGUCUGUCAAGUCGGAUGUGAAAUCCCCGGGCUCAACCUGGGAACUGCAUUCGAAACUGGCAGGCUAGAGUCUCGUAGAGGGGGGUAGAAUUCCAGGUGUAGCGGUGAAAUGCGUAGAGAUCUGGAGGAAUACCGGUGGCGAAGGCGGCCCCCUGGACGAAGACUGACGCUCAGGUGCGAAAGCGUGGGGAGCAAACAGG